AACUAUUUAUAUGAAUGUAGGUUAUAUAAGUUGUAAAUAAUAAAAUUUUAAAAAUUAUUUUAAAAGAUUUUUUAUUUCAUAUUAAAAAGAUAUUAUCUUUUCAUUUUAAAUUGAAUUACCUAAUUUUUUUAUCUCAUAAUAAAAAAAACAUAAUUUUUUUUUAUAUAUAAAUAUAAAGUAUAUAAAUUACUAUUUUUCAAUUUCAUAUUAAAAAAAUAAUUUUAACUUGUGGAUGUCCAAGUCUUCACACCAACUGCAACCCCAGUUUUGUUUUUUUUAAGAUUUGGCCAAGAUCUCGGAUCUUAAGUCAAUCUGUCGGGCUGGGCUCGUUCCGGUAUCUAUGGUGAGAAAUAUUACUAUCUAUCUUUCGACUUAUUGAGUAUUAGAAAAUCUCAAAUUCAUUCUGGCGAGGCGAGGGAAGUAAAUUUGUCCAGGAGAAUAUACAAAGCCAUUAUAAAAGCAGUCUCGCUCUUGAUAUGGCAGAUAGCUUAAGUUAGAAUAAUAUGAUUGUAAAUCUAAAAUGAAACAAAACAAAAAAAAAAAACGUAGUAGCAAAUCAGUUCUAAAAGCUGAAUGACAACCUAAAUUAUAACAUAAUAACUCAGUAUUCCCUUUACUGAUGAGUAUAUUAGGAAGUAGGAUCAUAGAUUUCUCAAACGAAGUCUUGUGUUGUGAAGUCAGGGACAACAUGAAGUCUAGAAUGUCUCAACACCUCGGAUUUUCUGCUUCUUCAUGAGGCAGGACAUGCUUGUCUAAAUUUGUUUUGGUACCGAGUAUAAGCUCCAGUAUUAUUUAACUUGCCAUCUUAAUUAUCAGAUCUCAAAAUCAAGUCUAAUGAUUUCUCCUCUAGGUUUACCCGGCAUAAUUUGUUGCGGGUAUACCCUAAAAGUACCUGGAUGACUUCAUCUAAUUACGAUCCUUUUGUUGGAUGGAUGCACGGAGCUCAAAUGGCUGCAUUUAAUAUGCAGGUUUGUCUCCUUCUUAUGCUGACUGAAUGAGCACUGAUACUUUUAUUCUCUAUUUAUGUCACCGAUCGCUCUCUAUAGGACAUAAGACCGAACAAGACACACUCCGAUGAACUACUUCACUCGACAGAACUUAUUUCCAAAGUUAUUUAAGUUGCAAAACUGUUGUUCCAACAGACAGUACAAAUGUGCAUCUAACAAAGCAGGUCUCAAUCCAACAUCAGGAUCUUGUGAUGUGCUUAAGCAUGCAAGAAAAGUAGUUUAUGGCUUUCCUGUUCUUGUGUUGGCUCAAAGCAUUUUCUUCAUCAAAAGGGAAUAGGAAUACAAGUCCAUGACAAAAAAAGAAGAAAAAAACCCACCUAUCAUUGUUGAGGUAAAUCGAGUCCCAUAUCGAAAUCGCUAGUGCUUUGACUGAUCACUGGCGACAAUUUGGAGUAUUCUGAGUAAGUUUCAAGAACGCUUAGAAAUAUUUGGUCAUUUUGCUUUAAGAUCUAGCUCCUCUAUGUAACAGGGUAGAGUUCAAGCUGCAUAAUAAUAGCGCCCAGCUUGCUUGAAAACUAGUUUUUCUGUAGUGUAGUAUACGUGGAAAAGUCGUAUCGCUAUAAUUCAAGUCUAGGUAACUUCUUCCAAGAAGAGAACAAUGAUUAUCUAGCCACAACACUGAUAAAAAACAAACCAGAAGUGUAUGCGACUGCAGAUCCAACAACACUAUCAUCAAACUGUCUUUAAGCUAAAUUAGGUGUUUGAAUUUCUUAGCAGCUCCAGUUAUAUUGCAUGCUUUCUUCUGAUAACAUUCCAUUUUCAUGUUUGACCAACUGACUUAAGCAGGAAGAGAAUUUCGAACUGUUUGAGCUCCAUUUCAAUUGCUUGUUGGGGCAGAAUGUCAAUUUUCUGUGUUGUGGCCUUGUGGGUUUCCUUGACCCUUUCCUCUUUAUAUCCUUGUCAGGGCAAUGAGGCAAUGACAAGCACAUUUGGAUUAUGCAGGGAAUGUUUAGAGCCAACGGUGGCUGUGGUUGCGUGAAAAAACCUGGUUUUUCAUUGAGUGAACCUGAUUCUGAUCCUAGUGUGCAAUUGACUGUAGAAAAGAUUUUGAAGGUGAAAAUCUACUUUGGGGCAGGGUGGCAUUUGGAUUUUCGCUGCACACAUUUUGAUCUGUAUUCUCCACCUGACUUCUUCGCAAGAGUAAGAUAUCUAGCACUUGAGGUCUUGGCCUAGCGGUGGUAGAGACUUGUUUUCUUUCUCUGCAACCGGGUUCGAACCUCUCUAUGCACGCCUGUCACCCCCGCGGUGCCUUACAUGCUUACUGGGUUUGCAGGAUGUUCAGUGGGCCGUGAGAUUAGUCGUGGUGCGCGCAAGCUGGCCCGGACACCCACGUAAAUAAAAUAAAAAAAAAAUAAAAAAAAAAGUAAGAUGAUCUAUGUAAAUAUGUGUCAUCAGUAUAUGUGCCUGUUGGAAUUUCAAGUCACAAAUUUUGGAGCUGCUUUUCUCCUUCGGAGUUCUGUACUUGUUGUAAACUUUGACACGCCAGAAGUUUUUCCAGAUUUUUUAUGCUCAUCUUAACACAU
Populus trichocarpa (black cottonwood) is the source of this 2530-nucleotide long non-coding RNA. RefSeq lists it as uncharacterized. The record is from RefSeq and is a predicted model, not a curated record. Lineage: Eukaryota; Viridiplantae; Streptophyta; Magnoliopsida; Malpighiales; Salicaceae. The transcript has 2 exons.